This is a non-coding RNA of Rhodocollybia butyracea, 80 nucleotides long. The record is from the annotation of a GenBank genome assembly. NCBI's taxonomy places the organism in Eukaryota, Fungi, Basidiomycota, Agaricomycetes, Agaricales, Omphalotaceae.
GCCUCCUUAGCUCAGUUGGUAGAGCGCGUCACUCGUAUGAGAUUAUGACGAGGUCAGUCGUUCGAAUCGGCUAGUGGGCA